AAAAUAGUAAGCUAAAUAAAGCUUUUGGGUUCAUACCUCAACUAUAAAGGUAUAAAACCUUUCUAUUUUA
RNAcentral lists this transfer RNA (70 nucleotides) under Stegobium paniceum (drugstore beetle). RNAcentral describes it as "tRNA-Met". It matches the Rfam family "tRNA". From Rfam's summary of the family: Transfer RNA (tRNA) molecules are approximately 80 nucleotides in length. Their secondary structure includes four short double-helical elements and three loops (D, anti-codon, and T loops). The record is from RNAcentral. Lineage: Eukaryota; Metazoa; Arthropoda; Insecta; Coleoptera; Ptinidae.